UACGAAGGGGGCUAGCGUUGCUCGGAAUGACUGGGCGUAAAGGGCGCGUAGGCGGCUCAUACAGUCAGGCGUGAAAUUCCUGGGCUCAACCUGGGGACUGCGCUUGAGACGUGUGGGCUUGAGUGGGGAAGAGGGUCGUGGAAUUCCCAGUGUAGAGGUGAAAUUCGUAGAUAUUGGGAAGAACACCGGUGGCGAAGGCGGCUCACUGGCCCGGUACUGACGCUGAGGUGCGAAAGCGUGGGGAGCAAACAGG
RNAcentral lists this ribosomal RNA (253 nucleotides) under uncultured bacterium. RNAcentral describes it as "partial 16S ribosomal RNA". It matches the Rfam family "Bacterial small subunit ribosomal RNA", at positions 524 to 776 of the family's 1533-position model. The record is from RNAcentral.